UUCAGGGUAGACGAAUAGGCAAAGUCAGGAAUUUUUGGUAUUCUUAUUUGGGUGUUCGAGUCACCCUCCUGAAA
This 74-nucleotide transfer RNA is filed under the name Scytalidium sp. Its description in RNAcentral is "tRNA-Gln". Lineage: Eukaryota; Fungi; Ascomycota; Leotiomycetes. The record is from RNAcentral.